This is a non-coding RNA of Paramisgurnus dabryanus, 1475 nucleotides long. The record is from RefSeq and is a predicted model, not a curated record. NCBI's taxonomy places the organism in Eukaryota, Metazoa, Chordata, Actinopteri, Cypriniformes, Cobitidae.
UUUAGACAAAUCAUGAACAAUGCUACGAUUAAAACUUUUGAUUGUAACAUCACAAGUUAUUUAAUUAAAUAUUCCGUAUAUGGGUAUAGUUUAAGCAAUGAUCUGAGCCAAUACUACAAUCUUUAGACGAUAGUCUAAACUAAAUAAAUUUUUAAACGGUUCAGGAAUUCCGUGAAUCUUUUCAUAACCUGCACUAUAGUUUCACGCGUAUUAAAGAUCCGGCGGUGCCUGACAAAGCGCCGGGUGAGUGUUCAUAUCUGCCAUUUUAAAAUAAUGUUAAUAAAUGUAAUUCUGUCCACUAUGGCAAAAUAGGAUUUUAUUUUAGAUUUAGUGGAAUCUUUAACCAAGUCUCUGAUUAAGACAUGUGUAUACGUGCACAGAUGGUGACAGAGAAACUUAUAUAUGACGUUAAUAAUCUUUUAAAUGUUUUUAAGACGUAUUCAUCCCCAUUUUGGGGUUUUAUUUUUAAUUAAAGGCUUCUUAAAACAUGUGUGAAUAUGUGUAUAUUAUACAAAGAGUCUUAUAUUGUCUGCUCUGACAAAAAUAAAGUAUUUUUUUUAGGUUUAGGGGAAUUGACUGCGUGUGUCUUAUAAAUACAACUUGAUAAUACGUUUGUUUUGUAAAGAGACUUCUUUAAAGUCACGCAAGAAUAAAAUAUUUUAGUUGUAACUGGUUAAACUUAAAGCCGAUAUUUUCUAUCGAACUAGUCUAUUUUCUGUUCAGACACAAAGUUUUCUGAUGCUGAUAUUAUGUCAGUGUGUGUUUGUGUGGGGGUCGUGUGAUGUAAUCUUUGAAAGUUUAUGACCGAACCUUUAUUGGGGAGCGACAAGAGAUCUCCCGGAAUCAGUUUGGAUGGAGCAGAGCUGUUAUACUCAAGUCUAUUGGUAUGUAUGUGUUUCGCUGUGUUCGUUCCAGUAUUUUGUAUGAUUUAUUUAAAAACUAAAAAUUCGAUCUCUGGUAUUGCAGCGAAAUUGUCUAAACUGGUAUUAACUAUUCCUGGUAAAUCGCGGAGAAGAGUGGCCUGAACAAAAAAGUCAGACCGAGACUAGAACCUCCCGCAGCGUAACACGGAAAUCUUGGAACAAAAGAGACGCCGACUGGCUCGUGUUGUCCGGUUUGGAUAUCAGAGGCAAAGCGAACGUUGUGUGUACUAUUGCAAAAUAUAUAGCGGAUCUCCACGGUUAGGAUACAGACCACAACGCUUUGGACGUAUCUUUAAAAAAGAUUAAAAUCAGAGACUUUUUGGAUUUGUCUGGGGACAUUUUAAACAUUUUGUGGCAAAUUGGAUUUAAAACAUUUCGGAUACUGGAUACCUAGUUUGAUUUGUCCACAGAGCUUGUUUAAGACGUUUUCACCGCAUUUUAGGGUUUAUUUUUAAUUAAAGGCUUCUUAAAACAUGUGUGAAAAUGUGUAUAUUAUACAAUGAGUCUUAUAUUGUCUGCUCUGACAUAAAUAAAUUUUUAUUUUAGAUUUUA